This 509-nucleotide ribosomal RNA is filed under the name uncultured bacterium. RNAcentral describes it as "bacterial SSU rRNA". It matches the Rfam family "Bacterial small subunit ribosomal RNA", at positions 28 to 526 of the family's 1533-position model. The record is from RNAcentral.
GACGAACGCUGGCGGCGUGGAUUAGGCAUGCAAGUCGAACGGUAUCAUCCUUUCGGGGGUGAGAGAGUGGCGAACUGGUGAGUAACACGUAGGUUAUCUACCCUCAAGACGGGGACAACCCAGGGAAACUUGGGCUAAUACCGGAUGUGAGCAACUUUUAGUUGUUUGAAAGGUGGCGUAAGCUGUCGCUUGGGGAUGAGCCUGCGUCCUAUUAGUUAGUUGGUGAGGUAACGGCUCACCUAGGCAAUGAUAGGUAGGCGGCCUUAACGGGUGGUCGCCCACACUGGGAUUGAGAUACGGCCCAGACUCCUACGGGAGGCAGCAGUCGAGAAUAGUCUACAAUGGUCGGAAGACUGAUAGUGCGACGCCGCGUGAACGAUGAAUCCCUUCGGGGUGUAAAGUUCUUUUAUAUGUGAGCAGUGCUUCUUAUAUUAACAGUAUGGGGAGAGAGAUAUUAGCAUAUGAAUAAAGCAAACGGCUAAACUCCGUGCCAGCAGCCGCGGUAAACU